GGCUUCCUGGACUUACUACAGGAUAUAUUCUUACCCUGACUAUAGAAAAUGGAGGCAUAGUAAACCUAUAGUAUAUACACUGCAGCCCAGCCCAGGCUCUGUGCCUGAUUUGUAUGGCAAAUUGGGAGACAUGG
Molecule: small nucleolar RNA, 134 nt
Organism: Dipodomys ordii (Ord's kangaroo rat)
Lineage: Eukaryota; Metazoa; Chordata; Mammalia; Rodentia; Heteromyidae
Source: Ensembl